This 430-nucleotide ribosomal RNA is filed under the name Bragasellus lagarioides. RNAcentral describes it as "partial 16S ribosomal RNA". It matches the Rfam family "Bacterial large subunit ribosomal RNA", at positions 1912 to 2597 of the family's 2925-position model. Lineage: Eukaryota; Metazoa; Arthropoda; Malacostraca; Isopoda; Asellidae. The record is from RNAcentral.
CCUAUGAUUAAUUAAAUGGCCGCAGUAUCCUGACUGUGCGAAGGUAGCAUAAUCAUUUGUUUCUUUAUUGGAAACUAGAAUGAAAGAGUCGACGAAAAAUAGUCUUUUGAUUUGAAAAGUUAAAUUAACAUAAAGGUUAAAAGGCCUUAAAAUCCCAGAAAGACGAUAAGACCCUAUAAAACUUUACUAUUAUAAUAAUAAGAUAGUUAAACUGGGGCGGUUAAUACUAAAACUGUAUAAAAAAAAAUAUAAAAUAUAAAAUUUAGGAACUUAAUUUAUAAAAAAUUUUGAACAAGUUACUUUAGGGAUAACAGCAUAAUUUUCUCAAAGAGCCCAAAUCGACGAGAAAGCUUAUGACCUCGAUGUUGAAUUGGAAUUCCUCGUAUAAGCAGCCGUAUACAGGGGCAGUCUGUUCGACUGUUAAAUUUUC